CGUAUAUUAAAGUUGUUGCAGUUAAAAAGCUCGUAGUUGGAUUUGUGGAUGGGNCGUCCGGUGUGCUCUUUUGAGCGUUACUUGGGCAGCUCGUCCAUCCUUGGGUGGAAUCUGUGUGGCAUUAAGUUGUCGUGCAGGGGAUGCCCAUCUUUUACUGUGAAAAAAUUAGAGUGUUCAAAGCAGGCUUAUGCCGUUGAAUAUAUUAGCAUGGAAUAAUGAGAUAGGACCUUGGUACUAUUUUGUUGGUUUGCGCACCGAGGUAAUGAUUAAUAGGGACAGUUGGGGG
RNAcentral lists this ribosomal RNA (286 nucleotides) under uncultured diatom. RNAcentral describes it as "partial 18S ribosomal RNA". It matches the Rfam family "Eukaryotic small subunit ribosomal RNA", at positions 598 to 888 of the family's 1831-position model. The record is from RNAcentral. Lineage: Eukaryota; Bacillariophyta.